AGCGAACGCUGGCGGCAGGCCUAACACCUGCAAGUCGAACGGAUCCUUCGGGAUUAGUGGCGGACGGGUGAGUAACACGUGGGAACGUGCCCUUUGGUUCGGAACAACUCAGGGAAACUUGAGCUAAUACCGGAUGUGCCCUUCGGGGGAAAGAUUUAUCGCCAUUGGAGCGGCCCGCGUCUGAUUAGCUAGUUGGUGAGGUAACGGCCCACCAAGGCGACGAUCAGUAGCUGGUCUGAGAGGAUGAUCAGCCACACUGGGUCUGAGACACGGCCCAGACUCCUACGGGAGGCAGCAGUGGGGAAUCUUGCGCAAUGGGCGAAAGCCUGACGCAGCCAUGCCGCGUGAAUGAUGAAGGUCUUAGGAUUGUAAAAUUCUUUCAGCGGGGACGAUAAUGACGGUACCCGCAGAAGAAGCUCCGGCUAACUUCGUG
This 433-nucleotide ribosomal RNA is filed under the name uncultured bacterium. RNAcentral describes it as "partial 16S ribosomal RNA". It matches the Rfam family "Bacterial small subunit ribosomal RNA", at positions 29 to 507 of the family's 1533-position model. The record is from RNAcentral.